This 694-nucleotide ribosomal RNA is filed under the name uncultured bacterium. RNAcentral's name for it is "bacterial SSU rRNA". It matches the Rfam family "Bacterial small subunit ribosomal RNA", at positions 32 to 715 of the family's 1533-position model. The record is from RNAcentral.
AACGCUAGCUACAGGCUUAACACAUGCAAGUCGAGGGGCAGCAUGAACUUAGCUUGCUAAGUUUGAUGGCGACCGGCGCACGGGUGAGUAACGCGUAUCCAACCUUCCGUACACUCAGGGAUAGCCUUUCGAAAGAAAGAUUAAUACCUGAUGGUAUGAUGAGAUUGCAUGGUAACAUCAUUAAAGAUUUAUCGGUGUACGAUGGGGAUGCGUUCCAUUAGAUAGUAGGCGGGGUAACGGCCCACCUAGUCGACGAUGGAUAGGGGUUCUGAGAGGAAGGUCCCCCACAUUGGAACUGAGACACGGUCCAAACUCCUACGGGAGGCAGCAGUGAGGAAUAUUGGUCAAUGGACGAGAGUCUGAACCAGCCAAGUAGCGUGAAGGAUGAAGGUCCUACGGAUUGUAAACUUCUUUUAUAAGGGAAUAAAACCUCCCACGUGUGGGAGCUUGUAUGUACCUUAUGAAUAAGCAUCGGCUAACUCCGUGCCAGCAGCCGCGGUAAUACGGAGGAUGCGAGCGUUAUCCGGAUUUAUUGGGUUUAAAGGGAGCGCAGACGGGUCGUUAAGUCAGCUGUGAAAGUUUGGGGCUCAACCUUAAAAUUGCAGUUGAUACUGGCGUCCUUGAGUGCGGUUGAGGUGUGCGGAAUUCGUGGUGUAGCGGUGAAAUGCUUAGAUAUCACGAAGAACUCCGAUUG